GCAACGGAUAUCUCGGCUCUCGCAUCGAUGAAGAACGUAGCGAAAUGCGAUACUUGGUGUGAAUUGCAGAAUCCCGUGAACCAUCGAGUCUUUGAACGCAAGUUGCGCCCGAAGCCKUUAGGCCGAGGGCACGCCUGCCUGGGCGUCACGCGCCGUUGCCCCCCCU
RNAcentral lists this ribosomal RNA (166 nucleotides) under Crataegus triflora. RNAcentral describes it as "5.8S ribosomal RNA". The stretch from base 1 to 148 matches the Rfam family "5.8S ribosomal RNA". From Rfam's summary of the family: 5.8S ribosomal RNA (5.8S rRNA) is a component of the large subunit of the eukaryotic ribosome. It is transcribed by RNA polymerase I as part of the 45S precursor that also contains 18S and 28S rRNA. Functionally, it is thought that 5.8S rRNA may be involved in ribosome translocation. The record is from RNAcentral. Lineage: Eukaryota; Viridiplantae; Streptophyta; Magnoliopsida; Rosales; Rosaceae. RNAcentral also lists the same sequence under 1 other name.